This 292-nucleotide ribosomal RNA is filed under the name uncultured bacterium. RNAcentral describes it as "partial 16S ribosomal RNA". It matches the Rfam family "Bacterial small subunit ribosomal RNA", at positions 505 to 796 of the family's 1533-position model. The record is from RNAcentral.
GUGUCAGCAGCCGCGGUAAUACGAAGGGGGCUAGCGUUGCUCGGAAUCACUGGGCGUAAAGGGUGCGUAGGCGGGUCUUUAAGUCAGGGGUGAAAUCCUGGAGCUCAACUCCAGAACUGCCUUUGAUACUGAAGAUCUUGAGUUCGGGAGAGGUGAGUGGAACUGCGAGUGUAGAGGUGAAAUUCGUAGAUAUUCGCAAGAACACCAGUGGCGAAGGCGGCUCACUGGCCCGAUACUGACGCUGAGGCACGAAAGCGUGGGGAGCAAACAGGAGGAGAUACCAUUGGAGUAC